AACUGACAAAAGCUUUAGAAGAGCUUAAAGAUCAACUGUUAUGCUGGCCUUUAUAGGAAAAGGCCCAGCACAGAAUCACACGGUCUCUGCCCUGCUGAGGAAGCUCCCACCCUGCUACAGAAAGCCAUGUGGUCUCAUGCCUGUAGAGGCUUCAUCCCUCAUGACUGGCAUAGGCCACUCAGCAAACAACAGCUUACCUAUGGCACGGAGCUUCUCCGGAGAGAUGCUGAAAGCAAUGAAAUGUCACUGUGAGAGUAUAACUAGCCAACUAUUGGGGGAAAAAGAGCAAUGAAAUAUUACAGAACAUGCAGUUUUCUCCUGAGAAAGCACAGCUCUUCAGUCAAUAGGCUCCACAAGCCUCCUUCUCCUCCCCUGCUCUCC
This 381-nucleotide long non-coding RNA is filed under the name Mustela putorius furo (domestic ferret). RNAcentral's name for it is "lncRNA (ENSMPUG00000025111.1)". Lineage: Eukaryota; Metazoa; Chordata; Mammalia; Carnivora; Mustelidae. The record is from RNAcentral.